Molecule: long non-coding RNA, 1113 nt
Filed under: Equus caballus (horse)
Lineage: Eukaryota; Metazoa; Chordata; Mammalia; Perissodactyla; Equidae
Description: lncRNA (ENSECAG00000050906.1)
Source: RNAcentral
GUGGAUUCCACUUUGGACACCAUUUAUGUCUACUUUAAGAAUAAAAUGGCCAGUUAUUUUACCAGCAAAAUGAGUUUAUUUGGAAAAAACAAAGAAUUGAAAUUUGGGGCCCAUAAACUAUGUCAAAGGGAAGGGCAAGUGCAACAAUCAAAGGAGAGGAAGUUACUUUGUAGGGAAAAAUUGGGACAGGUUGUUUUGAAUGAAAGUCCAUUGGAGAAAAGCAAGAGUUCAGGGUGGUGAUGGUUCCUCCUUGGCUGAGUUGCUGGGGUAGUUGAUUUCUAUUUAGGAUGCAGUGUACAUUUCUUCCUGUAAUUGAUGAUUAUUUUCUGUUGAUGACUUCUUUCCAUUGGAGUCUGGAACUGACAAUCUUCCUGUGAUAGACCUCAAGUCGUACUGCAUGGGAACUCCCCCUUCAGGUCUCCUGACUCCAUUUUAUCUUCUUGCAUUGAUAAAGUUUGGAGAUCUAUUGGCUUCUGUCCCCUGAAGAUCCAUCUCUCUCACCAGAUUUGGGAAGUUCUCAGCCAUUAUUUCUUUGAAUAGGCUUUCUGCCCCUUUCUCCUUCUCUUCGCCCUCUGGUAUACCUAUAAUCCUUACCUUGCAUCUCCUAAUUGUGUCUGAUAAUUCUCGGAGAGUUUCUUCAUUUCUUUUUAGUCUUACUUCUCUCUCCUCCUCUGCCUGCAGCAUUUCUAUAUUCCCAUCUUCCAAAUUGCUAAUUCUUUCCUCCAUAUUAUCGGCCCUACUGUUCAGGGCAUCUAGAUUUUUCUUAAUCUCCUCUAUUGUGUUCUUCAUUUCCAGUAUUUCUGUUUGGUUCUUCUUUAUCGUAUCAAACUCUUUUGUGACAUAGCUCCUGAACUCGUUGAGUUGUCGGUCAGAGUUCUCUCUUAACUCAUUGAGUAUUUUAAUGAUGGCUGUUUUGAAGUCAUCGUCAUUUAGAUCGGAAGAGGCAGGAGCCAAGUACACUGGGCAUCCUGUGACUGUCUCAAAGGGUGAGAGUUUGUGAGUUCCAAAGAAGGUGGAUCUGAGAUUUAGAAGGACAAAUGAUAAUGCUUUUGGUCAAGGUAUUUGAAGGGUCUCUACUAAUUUUGCCAAUGGAGUCUAAUAAUACCUUUAGUG